GGAGCAGAGGGCUGGAGGGUCUUUCUCCCUCCCACCUCGGUCUCUGCAGAAACAGCGGAGAGGGGCCUGUGUACAGAAGACAAGAGAAAAGACCCAGCCGGCCCAGCUGUUGCAAGAAAGGAUCCCAGUCCACCAGCAGCUGCAGCUUUUGCCACCUCAGCAACUACUAAAUAGACCAAUUAGUGCAGACUUCCUGCCAUUAUCGAACAUGGACUUGGACAUUAGUGCGCCACUAUUCAGCCAUAAUUUCGAGUCAGAAUGCGCUAAAAAAUUCACACACUGAAGCAUUCAAAUGUCCCUGAGCCACAUCUGUGUGUGUAUUUGUGCUUCUUCCCUGUGUGUUUCACCCACCCA
This 354-nucleotide long non-coding RNA is filed under the name Homo sapiens (human). RNAcentral describes it as "HSALNT0131545". Lineage: Eukaryota; Metazoa; Chordata; Mammalia; Primates; Hominidae. The record is from RNAcentral.